GUUUUUGUAGUUGAUGUACAACAGUGGUUUUUCAGACCUCAGGACUCAUAGUAGAGCAAAAAUU
Molecule: transfer RNA, 64 nt
Filed under: Sinomicrurus macclellandi (MacClellands coral snake)
Lineage: Eukaryota; Metazoa; Chordata; Lepidosauria; Squamata; Elapidae
Description: tRNA-Glu
Source: RNAcentral